RNAcentral lists this ribosomal RNA (549 nucleotides) under uncultured Glomus. RNAcentral's name for it is "SSU rRNA". It matches the Rfam family "Eukaryotic small subunit ribosomal RNA", at positions 548 to 1098 of the family's 1831-position model. Lineage: Eukaryota; Fungi; Glomeromycota; Glomeromycetes; Glomerales; Glomeraceae. The record is from RNAcentral.
UUGGAGGGCAAGUCUGGUGCCAGCAGCCGCGGUAAUUCCAGCUCCAAUAGCGUAUAUUAAAGUUGUUGCAGUUAAAAAGCUCGUAGUUGAAUUUCGGGAUCGACGGGUCGGUCGCGCCUCCGGUGUGUACUGGCCCUGUCGGUUUCUCCCUUCUGACGAACCACGAUGUCAUUAAUUUGAUGUCGUGGGAAAUCAGGACUGUUACUUUGAAAAAAUUAGAGUGUUUAAAGCAGGCAUUCGCUUGAAUACAUUAGCAUGGAAUAAUGAAAUAGGACGUUUGAUCUUAUUUUGUUGGUUUCUAAGAUCGACGUAAUGAUUAAUAGGGAUAGUUGGGGGCAUUAGUAUUCAAUUGUCAGAGGUGAAAUUCUUGGAUUUAUUGAAGACUAACUACUGCGAAAGCAUUUGCCAAGGAUGUUUUCAUUAAUCAAGAACGAAAGUUAGGGGAUCGAAGACGAUCAGAUGCCGUCGUAGUCUUAACCAUAAACUAUGCCGACUAGGGAUCGGAUGAUGUUAAUUUUUUAAUGACUCAUUCGGCGCCUUACGGGAAAC